AACGGACGCUGGCGGCAUGCCUAACACAUGCAAGUCGAACGAGACCUUCGGGUCUAGUGGCGCACGGGUGCGUAACGCGUGGGAACCUGCCCUUAGGUUCGGAAUAACUCCCCGAAAGGGGUGCUAAUACCGGAUAAUGUCUUCGGACCAAAGAUUUAUCGCCUUUGGAUGGGCCCGCGUUGGAUUAGCUAGUUGGUAGGGUAAAAGCCUACCAAGGCGACGAUCCAUAGCUGGUCUGAGAGGAUGAUCAGCCACACUGGGACUGAGACACGGCCCAGACUCCUACGGGAGGCAGCAGUGGGGAAUAUUGGACAAUGGGCGAAAGCCUGAUCCAGCAAUGCCGCGUGAGUGAUGAAGGCCUUAGGGUUGUAAAGCUCUUUUACCCGGGAUGAUAAUGACAGUACCGGGAGAAUAAGCUCCGGCCAACUCCGUG
This 433-nucleotide ribosomal RNA is filed under the name uncultured bacterium. RNAcentral describes it as "partial 16S ribosomal RNA". It matches the Rfam family "Bacterial small subunit ribosomal RNA", at positions 29 to 507 of the family's 1533-position model. The record is from RNAcentral.